This 236-nucleotide microRNA precursor is filed under the name Amborella trichopoda. RNAcentral's name for it is "MIR8562 microRNA precursor family". It matches the Rfam family "MIR8562 microRNA precursor family". The record is from Rfam by way of RNAcentral. Lineage: Eukaryota; Viridiplantae; Streptophyta; Magnoliopsida; Amborellales; Amborellaceae.
UUUUCUACAAAUCGGAAUAACCUGAAAUUUGGAGCGUGUGUUCAUAAAAAAUAGGCGAAUCUACAAAAAAUAUCAGAAAAAUAUUUUACAUGAAAAUAUUUGACCAAAAUACCCCUGAAAAGUUUCGAGGGUAUUUUGGUCAUUUUUUGGGAAUUAUUUUUUAAUAUUUCUAUUAAGUGUGUCUCACUAAGAUGUACACACGCUCUAAAUUUCAAGUUAUUCUGAUUUGUAGAAAA